GGGUCUGGGAUAGCGGGGUGGCCGAUGUUCGGAGUGAUCAGCGGCCACACGGGGUACGCGCACAGGUUGUGGAGGGUGAGGUUCGUCACCGUGUCCUGUGAGGCAGCUGCCAUGGGAGUGAGCACGGCGAGCACCAAGGUGAGAAAUGCCUUGAAUGUGGGCAUGGCGCACUGGUGAAGGGAUCAGAACUCGAGUACUGAUGUUGAUCAUAGCCUCAUGGGUGUAUAUAAGAGAGGAAAUUUUGUGGUGGUUAAGUGGCAACAAAGGCAUGCAUGCAUGCAUGGUUGCAUGUAAGGAAGCAUGCAUCCAUCGGCAGAGAUGGCGCCUCCACUCUAGCUAACUUAGU
RNAcentral lists this long non-coding RNA (346 nucleotides) under Hordeum vulgare. Its description in RNAcentral is "long non-coding RNA (HVUL_LNC009222)". Lineage: Eukaryota; Viridiplantae; Streptophyta; Magnoliopsida; Poales; Poaceae. The record is from RNAcentral.